Molecule: ribosomal RNA, 460 nt
Filed under: uncultured bacterium
Lineage: Bacteria
Description: partial 16S ribosomal RNA
Rfam family: Bacterial small subunit ribosomal RNA
Source: RNAcentral
CCUACGGGCGGCUGCAGUGAGGAAUAUUGGUCAAUGGGCGUAAGCCUGAACCAGCCAAGUCGCGUGAGGGAUGAAGGUUCUAUGGAUCGUAAACCUCUUUUAUAAGGGAAUAAAGUGUGGGACGUGUCCUGUUUUGUAUGUACCUUAUGAAUAAGGAUCGGCUAACUCCGUGCCAGCAGCCGCGGUAAUACGGAGGAUCCGAGCGUUAUCCGGAUUUAUUGGGUUUAAAGGGUGCGUAGGUGGCCUGUUAAGUCAGGGGUGAAAGUUUGUGGCUCAACCAUAGAAUUGCCGUUGAAACUGGGAGUCUUGAGCACAUUUGAGGCAGGCGGAAUGCGGGGUGUAGCGGUGAAAUGCUUAGAUAUCACGCAGAACCCCGAUUGCGAAGGCAGCUUGCUAAGCCAUGACUGACGCUGAUGCACGAAAGCGUGGGGAUCAAACAGGAUUAGAUACCCGGGUAGUC